GCCAGGCAUGGUGGUGCAUGCCUGUAAUCCCAGCUACUUGGGAGGCUGAGGCAGGAGAAUCACUUGAACCUGGGAGGCGGAGGUUGCAGUGAGCCAAGAUCACACCACUGCACUCCAGCCUGGGUGACAGAGUGAGACCCUGUCUCAA
Molecule: signal recognition particle RNA, 148 nt
Filed under: Nomascus leucogenys (northern white-cheeked gibbon)
Lineage: Eukaryota; Metazoa; Chordata; Mammalia; Primates; Hylobatidae
Description: Metazoan signal recognition particle RNA
Rfam family: Metazoan signal recognition particle RNA
About the family: The signal recognition particle (SRP) is a universally conserved ribonucleoprotein.
Source: Rfam by way of RNAcentral